UAUUGCGGCUGGCCGAGCUGGCUGGUUAAAGAACUCAACCAGACAGUAAAGUAAAACAGCCGCAUAGAUUAAACGGGAACUUAUAACCAGCUCUUGACUGUCCUAGCAUUGGCGGUGCGGGAUAGAAUCGUUCCUUACAUCA
RNAcentral lists this small nucleolar RNA (142 nucleotides) under Arabidopsis thaliana (thale cress). RNAcentral describes it as "ncRNA (AT2G08860)". The record is from RNAcentral. Lineage: Eukaryota; Viridiplantae; Streptophyta; Magnoliopsida; Brassicales; Brassicaceae.